Molecule: ribosomal RNA, 128 nt
Filed under: Diaphorina citri (Asian citrus psyllid)
Lineage: Eukaryota; Metazoa; Arthropoda; Insecta; Hemiptera; Psyllidae
Source: RNAcentral
GGUAGCGGAGAUAGCACGUUGAAUGCGCCAGUUCCCAAUGAAUCACUUAAGUUAAGCAACGUUGCGAGUGUUUAGUAUGAAGAUGGGUGACCAUGGUUGGUAUACAAAAUUACAAAGAUCGGUGACCA